Homo sapiens (human) is the source of this 957-nucleotide long non-coding RNA. Ensembl annotates it as SEC24B antisense RNA 1. Its record names the gene SEC24B-AS1. The record is from Ensembl. NCBI's taxonomy places the organism in Eukaryota, Metazoa, Chordata, Mammalia, Primates, Hominidae.
GGGAAGGCGGGGCCGGAGAGGAGAGAGGAAGAGGAAGGAACGCGCCUGGCGUCACUGAGGGUGUCACCCGGGACCGCGGCUCAGGAACCCCAGACGCACGGGCCUUGUGCUGUCGCUGCCGUGGCACCCCUUCUAGAAGGACUCUAUUCUCUAUAACAGAAGUGGGAGCCUUGGACAACUGAACGCCUAUCUCUAGCUCAAGAAAUGUCAGCUCUUUUUUUUUUUUUGAGACUGUCACCCAGUCGGGAGUACAGUGGCGCCAUCUUGGCUCUCUGUAACCUCCACCUCCUGGGUUCAAGCGAUUCUCCUGCCUCAGCCUCCUGAGUAGCUGGGGCUACAGGUAUGCACCAUCACUCCUGGCUAAUUGUUGUAUUUUUAGUAGAUAAUGGGGUUUCACCAUGUUGGCCAGGGUGGUCUCAAACUCCUGACCUCAGGUGAUCUGCCUGCCUCGGCCUCCCAAAGUGCUGGGAUUACAGACGUGAGCCACCAUGCCCAGCCAAGAAAUGUCAAUUCUUUAUCGUAGCCUGGCUUUCCAUAUUUCUCACUAGGGUUUUUAUUCUCUAGUUUGUAAAUCACAUUUGGCGUUUGUAGAUCACUCCUUCCCUUUUAGUGGCAUUCUCUAUUAGGUGUCCAUCUCCCAAUAUGAAGAAACAGUUUUCUGCUUUUUCCUCCUUUAUCUGAUCCAUUUACAGAUUUAUUACAUUUAUAAUAGGCUAGGUAUUGGGGAUACAAAAAUGAAUAAGAUAUGGUCUGUUUUCAAAGGUAUGCAGAAACUUUUCUAUAUAUUCCUACUGACUUGUAUUUGUAUUUCUUGAAUUAAAAACAAUCCUGGCUGUGUUUUUUUUUUUUUUUUUUUGCUCUUAGUGAAUCUUUGUUUCUUCUUUUCAUUAUGGCAUUCCAGUUGAGUUUCACCACGCAUUAUCAUGAGAAUAAAUAAUUUCACUGACUUUAAUAAUA